Molecule: long non-coding RNA, 884 nt
Organism: Toxotes jaculatrix (banded archerfish)
Lineage: Eukaryota; Metazoa; Chordata; Actinopteri; Toxotidae
Exons: 3
Source: RefSeq, a predicted model, not a curated record
CACCUGCUGGGCUGUGAGCUGUGACAUUAACACCGGCACACUGUUCAUAACACUGUGUGAGCCUGUAAGGGUGAAGGUGUGUGUUCAUUGCACUCAACAAAGAGAGGAGAUUUAAACCGACAGAGAGGCGACUCUGAAAGCAAAGGAUCUGAUCCUUCUGUCCUCAAACUACUACACUCUGCUUGCCUUUUGUCAGCAAAAAAAAACAAAACAACAUGGGAAGAGGAGAGAGUGAGGAGUGGGAUGAAAAGCAACAGGACACGAGGCAAACUCAGCCCCAGAGACACGAGGACACAGAGAGUCAAAGCUCAGGCAGUAGUUGUCCCAAGUGCUGCUUGCGGACGAGGGACUGUCUGAUGAGCCCGGAAUGCGGCAGAGCACUUCAGAUCUCCAGUGUCGUCGCCUGGUGUGGCAUGUGCAUCCGUAUGUUUGUGUAACCUAACCUUGGACAUCAGGACCAGCUUUUCCAGGCUUUGUUGAUUCUCAGCAUCCUCCAGCAUGAGUCACGCAUGCCGUGUGCUUUUCUUCUAAUCUGAGAUGAAAAAUACUCACCUCUGUGAGUGAGUUUCAUCAGUUCUAUCCACAAGUUAUUUAACAUAAACAAAAUGAAGCUGUUUCUAUGAAAACAUGCAGAAAACCAACUAGCAAGGGAAUGCUCAUGAAAGAACUGUUACACAUUAGUGUGAAUGAAUGAAUGCAAGAAUAAAUCUUUGUAAAAGGUAUAUUUGGAUUGUUUGAAGCUUAUCUGACUGACCACUUCUGAUUGAUCAAUAUGACACAGUAUUUAUAUUCAGUGCAGAUGUUGUAUGUUUGUAGUUGAGAGGUUUUCAGUAUGUAAAAAUAAUUGUAACAUAAUGAAAGUAAUAAAAACUAGGUGGGCCUGA